CCUGCGCGGAAGAUGUAACGGGGCUCAAACCACACACCGAAGCUGCGGGUGUCACGCAAGUGACGCGGUAGAGGAGCGUUCUGUAAGCCUGUGAAGGUGAGUUGAGAAGCUUGCUGGAGGUAUCAGAAGUGCGAAUGCUGACAUGAGUAACGACAAUGGGUGUGAAAAACACCCACGCCGAAAGACCAAGGGUUCCUGCGCAACGUUAAUCGACGCAGGGUUAGUCGGUUCCUAAGGCGAGGCUGAAAAGCGUAGUCGAUGGGAAACAGGUUAAUAUUCCUGUACUUCUGGUUACUGCGAUGGAGGGACGGAGAAGGCUAGGCCAGCUUGGCGUUGGUUGUCCAAGUUUAAGGUGGUAGGCUGAAAUCUUAGGUAAAUCCGGGGUUUCAAGGCCGAGAGCUGAUGACGAGUCGUCUUUUAGAUGACGAAGUGGUUGAUGCCAUGCUUCCAAGAAAAGCUUCUAAGCUUCAGGUAACCAGGAACCGUACCCCAAACCGACACAGGUGGUCGGGUAGAGAAUACCAAGGCGCUUGAGAGAACUCGGGUGAAGGAACUAGGCAAAAUGGCACCGUAACUUCGGGAGAAGGUGCGCCGGCUAGGGUGAAGGAUUUACUCCGUAAGCUCUGGCUGGUCGAAGAUACCAGGCCGCUGCGACUGUUUAUUAAAAACACAGCACUCUGCAAACACGAAAGUGGACGUAUAGGGUGUGACGCCUGCCCGGUGCCGGAAGGUUAAUUGAUGGGGUUAGCGCAAGCGAAGCUCUUGAUCGAAGCCCCGGUAAACGGCGGCCGUAACUAUAACGGUCCUAAGGUAGCGAAAUUCCUUGUCGGGUAAGUUCCGACCUGCACGAAUGGCGUAACGAUGGCGGCGCUGUCUCCACCCGAGACUCAGUGAAAUUGAAAUCGCUGUGAAGAUGCAGUGUAUCCGCGGCUAGACGGAAAGACCCCGUGAACCUUUACUGUAGCUUUGCACUGGACUUUGAGCCUGCUUGUGUAGGAUAGGUGGGAGGCUUUGAAGCGUGGACGCCAGUUCGCGUGGAGCCAUCCUUGAAAUACCACCCUGGCAUGCUUGAGGUUCUAACUCUGGUCCGUAAUCCGGAUCGAGGACAGUGUAUGGUGGGCAGUUUGACUGGGGCGGUCUCCUCCUAAAGAGUAACGGAGGAGUACGAAGGUGCGCUCAGACCGGUCGGAAAUCGGUCGCAGAGUAUAAAGGCAAAAGCGCGCUUGACUGCGAGACAGACACGUCGAGCAGGUACGAAAGUAGGUCUUAGUGAUCCGGUGGUUCUGUAUGGAAGGGCCAUCGCUCAACGGAUAAAAGGUACUCCGGGGAUAACAGGCUGAUACCGCCCAAGAGUUCAUAUCGACGGCGGUGUUUGGCACCUCGAUGUCGGCUCAUCACAUCCUGGGGCUGAAGCCGGUCCCAAGGGUAUGGCUGUUCGCCAUUUAAAGUGGUACGCGAGCUGGGUUUAGAACGUCGUGAGACAGUUCGGUCCCUAUCUGCCGUGGACGUUUGAGAUUUGAGAGGGGCUGCUCCUAGUACGAGAGGACCGGAGUGGACGAACCUCUGGUGUUCCGGUUGUCACGCCAGUGGCAUUGCCGGGUAGCUAUGUUCGGAAAAGAUAACCGCUGAAAGCAUCUAAGCGGGAAACUUGCCUCAAGAUGAGAUCUCACUGGGAACUUGAUUCCCCUGAAGGGCCGUCGAAGACUACGACGUUGAUAGGCUGGGUGUGUAAGCGUUGU
RNAcentral lists this ribosomal RNA (1739 nucleotides) under Pseudomonas aeruginosa. Its description in RNAcentral is "bacterial LSU rRNA". It matches the Rfam family "Bacterial large subunit ribosomal RNA", at positions 1158 to 2879 of the family's 2925-position model. Lineage: Bacteria; Pseudomonadati; Pseudomonadota; Gammaproteobacteria; Pseudomonadales; Pseudomonadaceae. The record is from RNAcentral.